UGUGCGUGUGCGUGCGUGUGUGUGUGUGCGUGCGUGCUUGCGUGCGUGCGUGCGUGUGUGUGCACCUUGCUAUGUUCAGUGGGCGUACUAGAUUUUAUUUGUCAGUUAUACAGGUCCAUUUUGUCUUAGCUUUCACUACAUGUAUGUAUACAAUCAUGUGCAGUGCUUACAGCUACAUGUACGUGUAUUUAUACCCUCCCCUUGUGCAGUGAUUGGGUGAGUCUGGAGGCUGUAGGGCUCUCACUGGGUGUGGUUUUGAAAAGGUUCCUCUCUAAAACAGUCAACUCUCUCUUCACCAAUCUCCUGGAACUGGCCAAAGCUAUCUGCACUAGCCCUGCUAACACACUCGCUUUCUACCAACUCGUAUUUCUCCUGACACUGGAAUUCUCUUAUCAAGGGCUCUCGGAUAUACUGGUCUUCCUACACCAGCUGCAAGAGCUUGCUGUGAAGGAGAAAGGCCUUCAGGCACAUCACAGAGUGGUGCUACAUGCUACAGUGGCGGGUGUGCUGCAUCUAGCGUCCAAGAUCAGUCGAAAUGAGGUACUCAAGACGACGCACAUUGAUGGAGUGAUUGCUAAGAGGAGGGAGACAGCUCCGAAGGCUAUGGUGGGACAUUCUUCUAGAGGAGUGGUAGUAAGAAGAAGUGCAGUCAUCUAGACAUGGAGGAGAAGCUGCUCAAGAGGUCUCAAAUCAUGGACCCGGGUGUCAUGGCUGAGCUGGAGUGAGAAUUGGAACUGGCCAACAGCAAGGCAGAUGUGAGUAGUUUUAAAUUAGCAUGUACGCAAGCACACUGUUUCUGUGGUAUAUGUAUAUCAGACUAGUCUUACAGGUUGCAGUAGAUUUGUUGUGUCAUAUCCGCGAGGUACCGGUUAAGCAGAUGUUACAUGUACGUGCCCAUUCAUAUCUCUCACGCUAGAGGUUAGGGGUCACGUACGUGACUGCGAUUAGGUUUUAGGAGAGUACGGAAAGAGGGGCCCCUGUGAUUAGCAGUAUAAAGAACCUCAUUUAGCCCCUCCCCCCCUAAUCGAAACUAUAAGUGAGAGGCAUGCAUUAGCACAUCGCAGUUUGCAACACUCGUUAUUAUUAGUGAGUUUUCAUGAUUUUAGUCCAUUUAUCAUCUGUUGGUUUAAGUUACCGUAAUGCCGGUUUAUCAUGUUUUCCUGUUCCUUUGCACAGUUUGUGUGUGUUAUGUCACUGUGAUCGACCCACCCCAUGCUGGAGGUUGAUGUGAGUUGAGACUGAGAAUGAUGCCCUGUCAGUAAUGAACCCGAACACUCACUCAUGCCUUCAAGAAGUUUAGUCUGAGAGACUUGUGAUGAAGGAAGAGGUCAAGAAGGCACUGGAUCGCUGUGAGG
This is a long non-coding RNA of Halichondria panicea, 1355 nucleotides long. RefSeq lists it as uncharacterized. NCBI's taxonomy places the organism in Eukaryota, Metazoa, Porifera, Demospongiae, Suberitida, Halichondriidae. The transcript has 3 exons. The record is from RefSeq and is a predicted model, not a curated record.